CUGCGAAUGGCUCAUUAAAUCAGUUAUCGUUUAUUUGAUAGUACCUUACUACUUGGAUAACCGUGGUAAUUCUAGAGCUAAUACAUGCUAAAAACCCCGACUUCGGGAGGGGUGUAUUUAUUAGAUAAAAAACCAACGCCCUUCGGGGCUCUUUGGUGAUUCAUGAUAACUUAACGGAUCGCAUGGCCUUGCGCCGGCGACGGUUCAUUCAAAUUUCUGCCCUAUCAACUUUCGAUGGUAAGGUAUUGGCUUACCAUGGUUUCAACGGGUAACGGGGAAUUAGGGUUCGGUUCCGGAGAGGGAGCCUGAGAAACGGCUACCACAUCCAAGGAAGGCAGCAGGCGCGCAAAUUACCCAAUCCCGACACGGGGAGGUAGUGACAAUAAAUACUGAUACAGGGCUCUUUUGGGUCUUGUAAUUGGAAUGAGUACAAUUUAAACCCCUUAACGAGGAACAAUUGGAGGGCAAGUCUGGUGCCAGCAGCCGCGGUAAUUCCAGCUCCAAUAGCGUAUAUUAAAGUUGUUGCAGUUAAAAAGCUCGUAGUUGAACCUUGGGCCUGGCUGGCCGGUCCGCCUCACCGCGUGUACUGGUCCGGCCGGGCCUUUCCUUCUGGAGAGCCGCAUGCCCUUCACUGGGUGUGUUGGGGAACCAGGACUUUUACUUUGAAAAAAUUAGAGUGUUCAAAGCAGGCCUUUGCUCGAAUACAUUAGCAUGGAAUAAUAGAAUAGGACGUGCGGUCCUAUUUUGUUGGUUUCUAGGACCGCCGUAAUGAUUAAUAGGGAUAGUCGGGGGCAUCAGUAUUCAAUUGUCAGAGGUGAAAUUCUUGGAUUUAUUGAAGACUAACUACUGCGAAAGCAUUUGCCAAGGAUGUUUUCAUUAAUCAGUGAACGAAAGUUAGGGGAUCGAAGACGAUCAGAUACCGUCGUAGUCUUAACCGUAAACUAUGCCGACUAGGGAUCGGGCGAUGUUACUAUUUUGACUCGCUCGGCACCUUACGAG
This 999-nucleotide ribosomal RNA is filed under the name Caryospora aquatica. RNAcentral describes it as "SSU rRNA". It matches the Rfam family "Eukaryotic small subunit ribosomal RNA", at positions 87 to 1094 of the family's 1831-position model. Lineage: Eukaryota; Fungi; Ascomycota; Dothideomycetes; Zopfiaceae. The record is from RNAcentral.